GACGAACGCUGGCGGCGUGCUUAACACAUGCAAGUCGAACGGUGAUGCUCCAGCUUGCUGGAGUGGAUCAGUGGCGAACGGGUGCGUAACACGUGAGCAACCUGCCCCAGACUCUGGAAUAAGCGCUGGAAACGGCGUCUAAUACUGGAUACGAAACUGGCCCGCAUGGGCAUGGUUUGGAAAGUUUUUCGGUUUGGGAUGGGCUCGCGGCCUAUCAGCUUGUUGGUGAGGUAAUGGCUCACCAAGGCGACGACGGGUAGCCGGCCUGAGAGGGCGACCGGCCUCACUGGGACUACGACACGGCCCAGACUCCUACGGGAGGCAGCAGUGGGGAAUAUUGCACAAUGGGCGAAAGCCUGAUGCAGCGACGCCGCGUGAGGGAUGACGGCCUUCGGGUUGUAAACCUCUUUCAGCAGGGAAGAAGCGAAAGUGACGGUACCUGCAGAAGAAGCACCGGCUAACUACGUG
RNAcentral lists this ribosomal RNA (468 nucleotides) under uncultured bacterium. Its description in RNAcentral is "partial 16S ribosomal RNA". It matches the Rfam family "Bacterial small subunit ribosomal RNA", at positions 28 to 507 of the family's 1533-position model. The record is from RNAcentral.